CCUACGGUAGGCAGCAGUGAGGAAUAUUGGUCAAUGGGCGAGAGCCUGAACCAGCCAAGUCGCGUGAGGGAGUACUGCCCUAUGGGUUGUAAACCUCUUUUGUCGUGGAGCAAAAGCCGGACGUGUCCGGCUGUGAGAGUACCCGAAGAAACAGCAUCGGCUAACUCCGUGCCAGCAGCCGCGGUAAUAAGGAGGAUGCGAGGGUUAUCCGGAUUUAUUGGGUUUAAAGGGUGCGCAGGCGGAUUUUUAAGUCAGCGGUCAAAUCGUGGGGCUCAACCCCAUCCAGCCGUUGAAACUGGGGGUCUUGAGUGUGCGUGAGGUAGGCGGAAUGCGUGGUGUAGCGGUGAAAUGCAUAGAUAUCACGCAGAACCCCGAUUGCGAAGGCAGCAUACCGGUGCACAACUGACGCUCAGGCACGAAAGCGUGGGUAUCGAACAGGAUUAGAUACCCCAGUAGUC
RNAcentral lists this ribosomal RNA (458 nucleotides) under uncultured bacterium. Its description in RNAcentral is "partial 16S ribosomal RNA". It matches the Rfam family "Bacterial small subunit ribosomal RNA", at positions 338 to 795 of the family's 1533-position model. The record is from RNAcentral.